This 300-nucleotide ribosomal RNA is filed under the name uncultured bacterium. RNAcentral's name for it is "bacterial SSU rRNA". It matches the Rfam family "Bacterial small subunit ribosomal RNA", at positions 496 to 795 of the family's 1533-position model. The record is from RNAcentral.
GUUAGCUACCGGACGACGUCGGCGUUAGGACGGAUGUGGGAGGCGUUGUACGGAGUUAUUGGGCGUAAGGGGGGCGCAGGCGGUUCGGUAAUGCCGGUGUGAAAUCUCUUGGCUCAAGUGGGAGGGGUCUUCGGAUACUGGCGGACUUGAGGAGUACAGAGGUGAGUGGAAUUCUGGGUGUAGUGGUGAAAUGCGUAGAUAUCCAGAGGAACACCAGCGGCGAAGGCGGCUCACUGGGUACCACCUGACGCUGAGGCGCGAAAGCGUGGGGAGCGAACCGGAUUAGAUACCCUGGUAGUC